GGGGACGGUCCUGCCGGGAGGAGGCGGAGGCAGGACAGGGUGGGGUUGCGGGCCCGGCGCCGCCCCUCCCGGCUCCUGGCUCCCCUCGCCUGGUGUCCCGCGCCUGGCCGGGAGGCGGCGGGUCUCGAUCGCGCGGGCCUCCCUGGAGGGGCGCGGGCUCUGGCGGCGGGGCCGGACCCUGCUCAGCGCAAUGGCGGGCUUGCAUCCUUGGGUGAUUUUUUCGGGCCCCUUGUGGCCUUUGCUCACGCCUGGAGAGCAAACCACCCGCACCACCCAGGAGCAGAUAAAAUCGAGACCACAGUUCUCCAAGGGAGCGCGCCUCCAUCCUGUUUGCCCCUCGGGUCGCCGUCUGAGGGCGGGCCCGUGCCCGCUCAGAGCCUACAUCCGAGUCGUAUAAAGCGCUGACAGCAGAGAAAGCUGCGGCUUUGCUCCGUGCAGAUGAGCAGGGGCUGAGGGAGGACGCUGUGCUCUCAGUAGCCGCGACCUAUCCAGCUGCUCUGCACUGGGCCCCUGACAUCCCAGAAAUCAGUACAUCUGUCUUCUGGGGUCCAAGAGGUAUUUCAGUUUCUCUGGCUUUGUUUCCCGUCAUUUGUACCUGGCCCUGCAGACUACCCCAGUAUUUCCAUCAUAAUACCCCUGUGGGCAGGUGCAUACCUCAUGACAAUAUUUAAUAUUAAUAGAUUUCUGUGUUGUCUCCAGAAUGGAAAGGGGCUAUCUAUUCCUUGAGCUAGUUGGCUUGCUGAAGACUAUUGACUUCAUUCUUCUUUUCCUAUCUACCUAAUAAACCAGUGUUAAUACAA
Molecule: long non-coding RNA, 800 nt
Filed under: Pan troglodytes (chimpanzee)
Lineage: Eukaryota; Metazoa; Chordata; Mammalia; Primates; Hominidae
Description: lincRNA
Source: RNAcentral